CCUACGGGAGGCUGCAGUGAGGAAUAUUGGUCAAUGGGCGCGAGCCUGAACCAGCCAAGUAGCGUGAAGGAUGACUGCCCUACGGGUUGUAAACUUCGUUUAUAAAGGAAUAAAGUGAGGCACGUGUGCCUUUUUGUAUGUACUUUAUGAAUAAGGAUCGGCUAACGCCGUGCCAGCAGCCGCGGUAAUACGGAGGAUCCGAGCGUUAUCCGGAUUUAUUGGGUUGAAAGGGAGCGUAGAUGGGUUGUUAAGUCAGUUGUGAAAGUUUGCGGCUCAACCAUAAAAUUGCAAUUGAUACUGGCAGCCUUGCGUACAGUUGAGGUAGGCGCAAUUCGUGGUGUCGCGG
Molecule: ribosomal RNA, 346 nt
Filed under: uncultured bacterium
Lineage: Bacteria
Description: partial 16S ribosomal RNA
Rfam family: Bacterial small subunit ribosomal RNA
Source: RNAcentral